UCCAGUUGCUGCAGGGAUAAAUUUAGAAGCUGCAUGAUUUAGACUUUUCCCACUGCCUUUAGUUUUAGACCCUUGAUCUUUCCCAUGAUUUCCUCCCCCAACCAGGAGACAUUUUAUCCAACUGAAUCACUUCUUGCACUUCUUCUAUUACAGCUAACUGUUUAUUCUAACUUGCCUCUUGAUCACCUAUCUUCUCAUUUGCUUGAAUCUAAU
RNAcentral lists this long non-coding RNA (213 nucleotides) under Nicotiana benthamiana. Its description in RNAcentral is "long non-coding RNA (NBEN_LNC005606)". Lineage: Eukaryota; Viridiplantae; Streptophyta; Magnoliopsida; Solanales; Solanaceae. The record is from RNAcentral.